AUGGAGGAUGGGGACAAGGAUGUGAUAAAAACUUCUGUCAGUGAAGAGUCCCCUAAUCCUGGAGAAAAGGAUGUGAUAAAAACUUCUGUCAGUGAAGAGUCCCCUAAUCCUGGAGAAAAGGAUGUGAUAAAAACUUCUGUCAGUGAAGAGUCCCCUAAUCCUGGAGAAAAGGAUGUGGUAAAAACUUCUGUCAGUGAAGAGUCCCCUAAUACUGGAGAAAAGGGUGAAGAUGAAGGGGAUUUGUCAAGGAAAACAGAAAUAUUGAGCGUAAAAGAAACAGUAAAUUCAACGAGUGAGAAUUCAAGCGAUGAGGUAAAAGGGCAGUUCCAUGGGAGAGAUAACCCAGAAAAGGAUCUCAAUGAGCAGAUGGAUAAAAGCAGAAGCCCUGAUGCCAUGAAACCUGUAGAUUCAGACCAGACUGUGAAAGAGAUUCUUGAAGAAGAAAAAUCUGAAGAGCCAGUUUUUGAUGGAACUGAGAUUCCUGAAAUGGAACCAAUGAGGCGUUCUUCUGAUCAAUCUGUGGAGCUUGAUUCAAAAGCUCAGCAAGGGUCUGUGAUCAAUGAAAGAGCUGCUGCAAUCGGGAAUUUUGUUAAGGAAAAGGGAGCCAUUGUAGUGUCAACAUUUAUACGCCGCCUAUCUGGCAGAAAGGAUGAGAAUGAUCUUCCUGUUGAAGUUGACAAGAAUGAUGUUUCAGCAAGUGGCAAUGGUGAGAAGACCGUCUCAGAUUCUGAAAUUAAGCCAAAAGAGGUACAGAAGAAAUCCGAGGAAAGAAGCACAUGGAAUCCACUGAACUUGAUUAAAGUUGGAGGAGAUAUUGUUACUUCUACAACUGGGGAAGCUGGGGAUGCAAAUGUGCCUGGUUUGACAGAGCAACCAAUAGCAAAAGGAAGGAUUAUCGUAUACACAAAACUGGGAUGUGAAGAUUGCAAAAUGGUUCGGUUGUUCAUGCAUCAGCAAAGGCUCAAGUAUGUUGAGAUUAACAUUGAUAUAUUCCCUAGUAGGAAGUUGGAGUUGGAAAAGAAUACUGGGUCAUCCAUAGUACCAAAAGUGUAUGUCAAUGACCUGCUGAUUGGAGGCUUAACUGAAUUGAAGAAAAUGGAGGAGUCUGGCAUACUCAAUGAGAAAACUGGUGCUCUUUUCAAUGAUGAGCCCUCCUCUGCUGCUCCUUUGCCUCCUUUACCCGGAGAAGAUGACGAAUCUGGAUGUGGGAAGAUGGAUGAGUUGGCAACCAUCGUCAGAAAAAUGAGAGAGUCGAUUACACCGAAGGAUAGGUUUUACAAAAUGAGAAGAUUUAGUAACUGCUUUCCUGGCAGUGAGGCUGUGGAUUUUAUAUCAGAAGAUCAGUAUUUGGAGAGAGAUGAGGCAGUGGAAUUUGGAAGAAAGCUUGCAAGCAAACACUUCUUUCGUCAUGUUCUAGAUGAAAAUGUCUUUGAAGAUGGAAAUCAGCCUUACCGUUUCCUAGAUCAUGAUCCCGUUAUUAUGACACAGUGUUACAACAUCCCUAGGGGCAUCAUUGAUGUUGCACCAAAACCCAUGGCGGAAAUCGCAUCAAGGUUGAGAAAGUUGUCUUGUGCCAUUUUCGAGGCUUAUGUAUCUGAAGAUGAUAGGCAUGUUGACUACAGAAGCAUCCAGGGUUGUGAGGAAUUUAAAAGGUAUAUUAGAACAACUGAGGAGCUUCAGAGGGUGGAAACUAGUGACCUGUCACGUGAAGAAAAGCUUGCUUUCUUCAUAAAUCUGUACAAUAUGAUGGCUAUCCAUGCGUUAGUGACAUGUGGUCAUCCUGCUGGACCAUUGGACAGGAAAAAGUUCUUUGGAGACUUUAAGUAUGUCAUUGGUGGAUGUGCCUAUUCACUGUCAGCUAUUGAAAAUGGCAUUCUGCGUGCCAACCAAAGGCCACCAUACAAUCUUGUGAAACCUUUCGGACAGAAAGACCAAAGAUCCAAGGUGGCCCUAUCAUACCCUGAACCUCUUGUUCACUUUGCUUUGGUAUGUGGUACCAAAUCUGGGCCUGCACUUCGGUGUUACUCGCCGGGAAAUAUUGAUAAAGAGUUAAUGGAAGCUGCACGAGAUUUCGUAAGGAAUGGAGGACUGAUUGUUGAUCCUGAAGCAAAGGUUGCAUCUGCAAGCAAGAUCUUACGAUGGUAUAACACCGACUUUGGUAAGAAUGAGACAGAAGUACUGAAGCAUGCAGCAAAUUAUCUGGAGCCUGCAGCGUCGGAGCAAUUCUUGGAGCUGCUCGCAAACACUCAACUGAAGGUCUCGUAUCAGCCUUAUGACUGGAGCUUGAACAUCUAG
Molecule: ribosomal RNA, 2295 nt
Filed under: Triticum aestivum (bread wheat)
Lineage: Eukaryota; Viridiplantae; Streptophyta; Magnoliopsida; Poales; Poaceae
Description: partial small subunit ribosomal RNA
Source: RNAcentral